Molecule: ribosomal RNA, 497 nt
Filed under: uncultured bacterium
Lineage: Bacteria
Description: partial 16S ribosomal RNA
Rfam family: Bacterial small subunit ribosomal RNA
Source: RNAcentral
GAUGAACGCUGGCGGCGUGCCUAAUACAUGCAAGUCGAGCGAACGGACGAGAAGCUUGCUUCUCUGAUGUUUGCGGCGGACGUGUGAGUAACACGUGGAUAACCUACCUAUAAGACUGGUAUAACUUCGGGAAACCGGAGCUAAUACCGGAUAAUAUUUUGAAGCGCAUGGUUCAAAAGUAAAAUACGGUCUUGCUGUCACUUAUAGAUGGAUCCGCGCUGUAUUAGCUAGUUGGUAAGGUAACGGCUUACCAAGGCAACGAUGCAUAGCCGACCUGAGAGGGUGAUCGGCCACACUGGAACUGAGACACGGUCCAGACUCCUACGGGAGGCAGCAGUAGGGAAUCUUACGCAAAGGGGGAAAGCAUGACGGAGCAACGCCGCGUGAGUGAUGAAGGUCUUCGGAUCGUAAAACUCUGUUAUUAGGGAAGAACAUAUGUGUAAGUAACUGUGCACAUCUUGACGGUAACUAAUCAGAAAGCCACGGCUAACUACGUG